RNAcentral lists this ribosomal RNA (723 nucleotides) under Nocardiopsis sp. YIM 92628. Its description in RNAcentral is "bacterial SSU rRNA". It matches the Rfam family "Bacterial small subunit ribosomal RNA", at positions 60 to 786 of the family's 1533-position model. The record is from RNAcentral. Lineage: Bacteria; Bacillati; Actinomycetota; Actinomycetes; Streptosporangiales; Nocardiopsidaceae.
AGUCGAGCGGUAAGGCCCUUCGGGGUACACGAGCGGCGAACGGGUGAGUAACACGUGAGCAACCUGCCCCUGACUCUGGGAUAAGCGGUGGAAACGCCGUCUAAUACCGGAUACGACCCACCACCUCAUGGUGGAGGGUGGAAAGUUUUAUCGGUCAGGGAUGGGCUCGCGGCCUAUCAGCUUGUUGGUGGGGUAACGGCCUACCAAGGCGAUUACGGGUAGCCGGCCUGAGAGGGCGACCGGCCACACUGGGACUGAGACACGGCCCAGACUCCUGCGGGAGGCAGCAGUGGGGAAUAUUGCACAAUGGGCGAAAGCCUGAUGCAGCGACGCCGCGUGGGGGAUGACGGCCUUCGGGUUGUAAACCUCUUUUACCACCAACGCAGGCUCCACGUUCUCGUGGGGUUGACGGUAGGUGGGGAAUAAGGACCGGCUAACUACGUGCCAGCAGCCGCGGUAAUACGUAGGGUCCGAGCGUUGUCCGGAAUUAUUGGGCGUAAAGAGCUCGUAGGCGGCAUGUCGCGUCUGCUGUGAAAGACCGGGGCUUAACUCCGGUUCUGCAGUGGAUACGGGCAUGCUAGAGGUAGGUAGGGGAGACUGGAAUUCCUGGUGUAGCGGUGAAAUGCGCAGAUAUCAGGAGGAACACCGGUGGCGAAGGCGGGUCUCUGGGCCUUACCUGACGCUGAGGAGCGAAAGCAUGGGGAGCGAACAGGAUUAGAUACC